AUGGCUCAAUCCUUUAACUUCUUCUUCAUUUUUCACCAGCGUGGCUCCAUCCUCCGGGUGUCUGCGCCACACCUCAUCAUCACCAUCCAUUAUUCCACCAAGGUUUCAACCUUUUUCGUCUCAAGCAGCUCACCAUCACCAUCUGAUUUUAGGUUCGAGUACGUCAUUGUCCGUCUCAUUCAGAUGCGAAUACGAAGAAAGAGCGACACGAAUAGGGAAGGAUUAGAGAUUGAGGUUUACCUCCCAGAGAAAAUCCAGUGGUUCUUCAAAGUAGCGAAUUCGAGAGAAAUCUUCGAAGAAUCAGGAGGAGAUUGGCGAUGA
Molecule: non-coding RNA, 321 nt
Organism: Vicia faba (fava bean)
Lineage: Eukaryota; Viridiplantae; Streptophyta; Magnoliopsida; Fabales; Fabaceae
Source: the annotation of a GenBank genome assembly